RNAcentral lists this ribosomal RNA (413 nucleotides) under uncultured bacterium. RNAcentral's name for it is "bacterial SSU rRNA". It matches the Rfam family "Bacterial small subunit ribosomal RNA", at positions 505 to 916 of the family's 1533-position model. The record is from RNAcentral.
GUGCCAGCCGCCGCGGUAAUACGUAGGGGGCGAGCGUUGUCCGGAAUUACUGGGCGUAAAGGGUGCGUAGGCGGCCUGAGAAGUCAUGUGUGAAAUACCUGGGCUCAACCUGGGUGUUGCACAUGAAACUGGCGGGCUUGAGUGCAGGAGAGGGAAGUGGAAUUCCUAGUGUAGCGGUGAAAUGCGUAGAGAUUAGGAGGAACACCAGUGGCGAAGGCGGCUUCCUGGCCUGUAACUGACGCUGAGGCACGAAAGCGUGGGGAGCAAACAGGAUUAGAUACCCUGGUAGUCCACGCCGUAAACGAUGGAUACUAGGUGUAGGUGCUGAUUGAGGCAUCUGUGCCGUAGUUAACGCAAUAAGUAUCCCGCCUGGGGAGUACGGCCGCAAGGCUGAAACUCAAAUAAAUUGACGG